CAUGACCCCAGAUCAGACGGGACCACCCGCUGAGUUAA
This 38-nucleotide ribosomal RNA is filed under the name Allium savii. Its description in RNAcentral is "partial large subunit ribosomal RNA". The record is from RNAcentral. Lineage: Eukaryota; Viridiplantae; Streptophyta; Magnoliopsida; Asparagales; Amaryllidaceae.